RNAcentral lists this ribosomal RNA (825 nucleotides) under uncultured bacterium. RNAcentral's name for it is "bacterial SSU rRNA". It matches the Rfam family "Bacterial small subunit ribosomal RNA", at positions 49 to 873 of the family's 1533-position model. The record is from RNAcentral.
CUAUACAUGCAAGUCGAACGGUAACAGGGAUAGCAAUAUCCGCUGACGAGUGGCGCACGGGUGCGUAACACGUAUGCNACCUACCUAUUACAGUGGGAUAGCCCGGAGAAAUUCGGAUUAAUACCGCAUGAUAAUAUUGAAAGGCAUCUUUUGAUAUUUAAAAUUUUCAAUGGUAAUAGAAGGGCAUGCGGCUGAUUAGCUAGUUGGUAGUGUAAUGGACUACCAAGGCAACGAUCAGUAGGGGUUCUGAGAGGAAGGUCCCCCACACUGGUACUGAGAUACGGACCAGACUCCUACGGGAGGCAGCAGUAGGGAAUAUUGGGCAAUGGGCGAGAGCCUGACCCAGCCAUGCCGCGUGCAGGAUGAAGGCCUUCUGGGUUGUAAACUGCUUUUGAUCGGGAACAAAACACCUAUGCGUAGGGAUUUGAGUGUACCGAUAGAAUAAGCACCGGCUAACUCCGUGCCAGCAGCCGCGGUAAUACGGAGGGUGCAAGCGUUGUCCGGAUUUAUUGGGUUUAAAGGGUGCGUAGGCGGCUUUUUAAGUCAGUGGUGAAAUCCAGCAGCUUAACUGUUGAAUUGCCAUUGAUACUGGAGAGCUUGAGUACAGACGAGGUAGGCGGAAUUUAUGGUGUAGCGGUGAAAUGCAUAGAUACCAUAAAGAACACCGAUUGCGAAGGCAGCUUACUAGGCUGUAACUGACGCUGAGGCACGAAAGUGUGGGGAUCAAACAGGAUUAGAUACCCUGGUAGUCCACACUGUAAACGAUGAUUACUCGAUGUGUGCGAUAGACAGUACGCGUCCAAGCGAAAGCGCAAGUAAUCCACC